This 253-nucleotide ribosomal RNA is filed under the name uncultured bacterium. Its description in RNAcentral is "partial 16S ribosomal RNA". It matches the Rfam family "Bacterial small subunit ribosomal RNA", at positions 524 to 776 of the family's 1533-position model. The record is from RNAcentral.
GACAGAGGAGGCGAGCGUUAUCCGGAGUUAUUGGGCGUAAAGGGUACGUAGGCGGCUGGGCAAGUCUGGGGUUAAAGACCACAGCUUAACUGUGGGGGGGCCUUGGAAACUGACCGGCUGGAGUGGGGCAGGGGUUGCGGGAAUUCCCGGUGUAGCGGUGAAAUGCGUAGAUAUCGGGAAGAACACCGGUGGCGAAAGAGCGCAUCGGGGCCCUAACUGACGCUGAGGUACGAAAGCUAGGGGAGCGAAUGGG